UCCAGACUCCUACGGGAGGCAGCAGUGAGGAAUAUUGGUCAAUGGGCGGGAGCCUGAACCAGCCAAGCCGCGUGAGGGAAGAAGGUACAGCGUAUCGUAAACCUCUUUUGUCAGGGAACAAAGGCGGGGACUAGUCCCCGGAUGAGGGUACCUGAAGAAAAAGCAUCGGCUAACUCCGUGCCUGCAGCCGCGGUAAUACGUAGGUGGCAAGCGUUAUCCGGAUUUACUGGGUGUAAAGGGCGUGUAGGCGGGAAAGCAAGUCAGAUGUGAAAACCAUGGGCUCAACCUGUGGCCUGCAUUUGAAACUGUUUUUCUUGAGUACUGGAGAGGCAGACGGAAUUCCUAGUGUAGCGGUGAAAUGCGUAGAUAUUAGGAGGAACACCAGUGGCGAAGGCGGUCUGCUGGACAGCAACUGACGCUGAGGCGCGAAAGCGUGGGGAGCAAACAGGAUUAGAUACCCCGGUA
Molecule: ribosomal RNA, 465 nt
Filed under: uncultured bacterium
Lineage: Bacteria
Description: bacterial SSU rRNA
Rfam family: Bacterial small subunit ribosomal RNA
Source: RNAcentral